CCAGUAGAAAGGGGAAUACUUUGAGGCGAACAAAGUGUAUGAAGAGUUUUUUGAUGGUGCUAAAAAAAACUGGAAAAAUUCAAUUUGAAGUUUUGUUACUUAGCCAAAACUACGGCGACUACUUAAUGGCACGCCGAAAAGCGUCCUCGCAUCAACAGUUUGAGAACAGAGCCGUUGCAAGUUUACACUGCUUAAAUUUAUAUGUACAUAUGUACAUACAUAUGAACAUAUACGUAUUUAGUACAUACUAUGUUCUUACUUUAUGUGAGUCAGAUGUGCGUGAGUGCAUGCGUGAACGUAAGUGUGUGUGAGAUGUUUGGUUCUUCAGCCCGUACACUUUGGUAAUGUGGGAAGAAGGAAAGUGGCUGAGGUGGCAUAAUUUUUUACCACGAAAAGUGCAAAUGACGCUUAACUACUUGCUCUGCAAGUUUGCAAACCUCGAUUCAUGCUGUUGCAUGUUUGUAUCUCACUUACGUCGCAAUUGGAGUAUCUUCGUUUCUCGACAUUGUGAACUAAAAUCCAAAUGAAUGAUGAACACAAAACGAUGUACACACAAAAUUGAAUGACACCUUCACAAGAAAA
This is a long non-coding RNA of Drosophila sulfurigaster albostrigata, 582 nucleotides long. RefSeq lists it as uncharacterized. The transcript has 2 exons. NCBI's taxonomy places the organism in Eukaryota, Metazoa, Arthropoda, Insecta, Diptera, Drosophilidae. The record is from RefSeq and is a predicted model, not a curated record.